Molecule: ribosomal RNA, 1198 nt
Filed under: metagenome
Description: bacterial SSU rRNA
Rfam family: Bacterial small subunit ribosomal RNA
Source: RNAcentral
CGACCAGCCACACUGGAACUGAGACACGGUCCAGACUCCUACGGGAGACAGCAGUGGGGAAUUUUGGACAAUGGGCGCAAGCCUGAUCCAGCAAUGCCGCGUGAGUGAAGAAGGCCUUCGGGUUGUAAAGCUCUUUUGUCAGGGAAGAAACGGUUCGGGCUAUUAUCCUGGGCUAAUGACGGUACCUGAAGAAUAAGCACCGGCUAACUACGUGCCAGCAGCCGCGGUAAUACGUAGGGUGCAAGCGUUAAUCGGAAUUACUGGGCGUAAAGCGUGCGCAGGCGGUUGUGCAAGACAGAUGUGAAAUCCCCGGGCUCAACCUGGGAAUUGCAUUUGUGACUGCACGGCUAGAGUGUGUCAGAGGGGGGUAGAAUUCCACGUGUAGCAGUGAAAUGCGUAGAGAUGUGGAGGAAUACCGAUGGCGAAGGCAGCCCCCUGGGAUAACACUGACGCUCAUGCACGAAAGCGUGGGGAGCAAACAGGAUUAGAUACCCUGGUAGUCCACGCCCUAAACGAUGUCUACUAGUUGUCGGGUCUUAAUUGACUUGGUAACGCAGCUAACGCGUGAAGUAGACCGCCUGGGGAGUACGGUCGCAAGAUUAAAACUCAAAGGAAUUGACGGGGACCCGCACAAGCGGUGGAUGAUGUGGAUUAAUUCGAUGCAACGCGAAAAACCUUACCUACCCUUGACAUGUCUGGAAUCCUUGAGAGAUCAGGGAGUGCUCGAAAGAGAAUCAGAACACAGGUGCUGCAUGGCUGUCGUCAGCUCGUGUCGUGAGAUGUUGGGUUAAGUCCCGCAACGAGCGCAACCCUUGUCAUUAGUUGCUACGAAAGGGCACUCUAAUGAGACUGCCGGUGACAAACCGGAGGAAGGUGGGGAUGACGUCAAGUCCUCAUGGCCCUUAUGGGUAGGGCUUCACACGUCAUACAAUGGUACAUACAGAGGGCCGCCAACCCGCGAGGGGGAGCUAAUCCCAGAAAGUGUAUCGUAGUCCGGAUUGUAGUCUGCAACUCGACUACAUGAAGUUGGAAUCGCUAGUAAUCGCGGAUCAGCAUGUCGCGGUGAAUACGUUCCCGGGUCUUGUACACACCGCCCGUCACACCAUGGGAGCGGGUUUCACCAGAAGUGGGUAGCCUAACCGCAAGGAGGGCGCUCACCACGGUGGGAUUCGUGACUGGGUGAAGUCGUAACAAGGUA